This 724-nucleotide ribosomal RNA is filed under the name Klebsiella pneumoniae. RNAcentral's name for it is "bacterial SSU rRNA". It matches the Rfam family "Bacterial small subunit ribosomal RNA", at positions 68 to 785 of the family's 1533-position model. Lineage: Bacteria; Pseudomonadati; Pseudomonadota; Gammaproteobacteria; Enterobacterales; Enterobacteriaceae. The record is from RNAcentral.
UAGCACAGAGAGCUUGCUCUCGGGUGACGAGCGGCGGACGGGUGAGUAAUGUCUGGGAAACUGCCUGAUGGAGGGGGAUAACUACUGGAAACGGUAGCUAAUACCGCAUAAUGUCGCAAGACCAAAGUGGGGGACCUUCGGGCCUCAUGCCAUCAGAUGUGCCCAGAUGGGAUUAGCUAGUAGGUGGGGUAACGGCUCACCUAGGCGACGAUCCCUAGCUGGUCUGAGAGGAUGACCAGCCACACUGGAACUGAGACACGGUCCAGACUCCUACGGGAGGCAGCAGUGGGGAAUAUUGCACAAUGGGCGCAAGCCUGAUGCAGCCAUGCCGCGUGUGUGAAGAAGGCCUUCGGGUUGUAAAGCACUUUCAGCGGGGAGGAAGGCGGUGAGGUUAAUAACCUCAUCGAUUGACGUUACCCGCAGAAGAAGCACCGGCUAACUCCGUGCCAGCAGCCGCGGUAAUACGGAGGGUGCAAGCGUUAAUCGGAAUUACUGGGCGUAAAGCGCACGCAGGCGGUCUGUCAAGUCGGAUGUGAAAUCCCCGGGCUCAACCUGGGAACUGCAUUCGAAACUGGCAGGCUAGAGUCUUGUAGAGGGGGGUAGAAUUCCAGGUGUAGCGGUGAAAUGCGUAGAGAUCUGGAGGAAUACCGGUGGCGAAGGCGGCCCCCUGGACAAAGACUGACGCUCAGGUGCGAAAGCGUGGGGAGCAAACAGGAUUAGAUAC